AGACGGAGAUGUCUCCGCCACCUCGAGUCUAUCACCACCUCGUCCCCAAGCAGGCGCACCCAGUAGAUUCUUAAUAAGACUCCUCCAAAUGGAUUGAACUGAGCUUUCAAAGGUCCUGGGGAAGGAAACCUGGCUUUUUGCUUGGCAGGGAGCCCACGAGGGGAAGGAAUUACCAGUGUCGGCUUUGCCCUAGCAACUCACAUUCCAGGUCUGUAAGUGUAUUCCUAAGGGAGGAGCAGCGGCAGGAUGAAGACAUUUGGGGCUUUAUCAGCCAUGUCGGCUGCCCCCUCCUAGAACUGGAGUUGGGCCCCAAUUGUCCGGGCGGGGAAUCGUCCGGAGCUCGGAUGUGGGAGCGCGGCCGGGUGCGCGGCGGAUGGAUUGGGGAGGCGUGUCCCAGAGCCCCAGAGACGUCUUCUUCACCUGCACUCCGUCAGUGACCAGCUUGAAUGGCGGCCGGAGGAUAUAUUUGCCUUGGCCUCGGGCCAGGGCCGCCCCGCCACUCCUGGCACAGCAUCUGGUUCACAUCGUGUUGAAAAAUCUUGUUAUAUAGAUGGAGCAUGGUUCCCCGAGUCAGGAAGCCCUGAGUUCAAAUCCUACCUGAUGCCCUUUAAAGCACAAGCUAUGUGCUUCUGGGCCAUCCAUUUAACCUGUUUGCCUUAGUUUCCUCAUCUGCCAAGUGGCACCUAACUCAAAGGGUUGUAAGGCUCAAGACUGAAACCAGUGCUUGCUACAUAGUAGGUGCUUAAUAAAUACUAAUUGAGUGACUCA
Molecule: long non-coding RNA, 768 nt
Filed under: Monodelphis domestica (gray short-tailed opossum)
Lineage: Eukaryota; Metazoa; Chordata; Mammalia; Didelphimorphia; Didelphidae
Description: lncRNA (ENSMODG00000031635.2)
Source: RNAcentral